GAUGAACGCUGGCGUCGUGCCUAAUACAUGCAAGUCGAGCGAACAGACGAGGAGCUUGCUCCUCUGACGUUAGCGGCGGACGGGUGAGUAACACGUGGAUAACCUACCUAUAAGACUGGGAUAACUUCGGGAAACCGGAGCUAAUACCGGAUAAUAUAUUGAACCGCAUGGUUCAAUAGUGAAAGACGGUUUUGCUGUCACUUAUAGAUGGAUCCGCGCCGCAUUAGCUAGUUGGUAAGGUAACGGCUUACCAAGGCAACGAUGCGUAGCCGACCUGAGAGGGGGAUCGGCCACACGGGAACGGAGACCCGGUCCAGACCCCUACGGGAGGCAGCAGUAGGGAAUCUUCCGCAAUGGGCGAAAGCCUGACGGAGCAACGCCGCGUGAGUGAUGAAGGUCUUCGGAUCGUAAAACUCUGUUAUUAGGGAAAAAAAAAUGUGUAAGUAACUAUGCACGUCUUGACGGUACCUAAUGAAAAAGCCACGGCUAACUACGU
RNAcentral lists this ribosomal RNA (496 nucleotides) under uncultured bacterium. Its description in RNAcentral is "partial 16S ribosomal RNA". It matches the Rfam family "Bacterial small subunit ribosomal RNA", at positions 28 to 506 of the family's 1533-position model. The record is from RNAcentral.